CAGCCCAGCAGCAGCAGGUGCGCCGGGAGACGAGCGAGGAGGACUCGACAAUGAUGAGCGAGUGGAGGCAGACGUGGUUGACCACUUGACAUGUGAGAGCCUGAGGAGUUGUUCCCCCUCUGUCCAUGUUCGAUGACUUGCUCUCUGUCUGCCUCCACUCUCUGCCUUCACUGUACCAAAGUUUGUCUGUUGAGUCUCCUCUAGUCUGGUUGACCACUUGACAUGUGAGAGCCUGAGGAGUUGUUUUCCAGACACAGGUAGAGCUAACAGGGGUGUCACCCUGGGCCUGCCCUUUUGGGCUGGGCUUCAGCUGCAGAUCUAAAGGCUGCUUCCAGGGGUAUGGGGCCCUCAGCCUUUGUUUUUCUUUGCUUCUGCACCUUACAACAUACAUCACACCUUAUUUUCACACAUCCAAACACUGUUAACACCACUGACGCGUAACAUAUUUUACACAUCCCACUACGUAGUUAGAGCUAUCUUGAUUUGGAGUUAAAUAAAUUUACUUUUGGCUUGA
Pleuronectes platessa (European plaice) is the source of this 514-nucleotide long non-coding RNA. RefSeq lists it as uncharacterized. The transcript is spliced from 3 exons. The record is from RefSeq and is a predicted model, not a curated record. NCBI's taxonomy places the organism in Eukaryota, Metazoa, Chordata, Actinopteri, Pleuronectiformes, Pleuronectidae.